AUUAGUGCCUACUCUAAGCAUUUCAAGUCCACGUGUCUUGACUGCUGCCCUGUUUCACAGUACUCAAGACCCACCCCAAUAGUUCCAUGGCUUUCUUGUGGUGAGGGCCCUGGAGAUGGAUGCCAUUCUUCAGGUGGGGUCUCAGAAGAAGCCACAGGCAUCUGGAGCUUCCAAGAGCAGUGAGGAAGGUGACUGCAACCUUUCAUAAAAAGAGAAGCUCUACCAUGUCUUGUCACUGCAUGACCACAUCAGUUCAGUGACACUGUGGUGAAACAACUCUGUUCUUCAUCUCAGACCAAGAUCUCCUGUUUUUGUACCACCAGACAUCUUUGGAAAACAGCCCUUCUUCUUCUUUAGCCAUACCUAGGUAACCCAAAUCUUCUGGACAAAGACAUAAGCAGCAGGAUUGGUCGCAAGGUAUGUUAGCAAAAAUAAAAGUAUUAUUGUUUUUUCAUCUAUUGGUAUUGAGGUGUAAACUUCAUGAAAUCUAUAAUGGGAGAGUUAAGAAGCCUUUGCUGGCCUCAGAGAGUCAGGUGAUGGCAAAGUCACCCUUUGCACCACUGAUCAUAUCAUGACAUGAUGGUGACUAAAAAAAAUUAUUGUACCUGAUGUCAAUCUAGAUAAGCUCACAGAGAAUUCCUCAAGGUAAGGAGGCAACUUAUUUUUUAAUUUACCCCCUCGUACUUGUAACGUAAGUCUGAAUAAGGCUUUAUGUAUGCCAGAGUUCAUCUGCCUACUUCAGAUGUUUUCCUGACAAGAGCAUCUGUUAAGGCCCACUCUUUCAGGGCUAUGAGUCUCACAUUAAUACAAUUUUGUGCUUUCAACAGAUUCAUGAGGUCUGUAUUUGGGGCAGGAGUGAGUGAAAGGUAGGGAGUGUAUGUAGUAAUUUAACAGGAUGCAGCUAUUCAAUUUCUGUUUCUCUUUCAAUUCCAUUUCAAUUCUGUUCAAUUUAUGGAGAAUUUGUAGAGAUUAUAUGGUAUGUCAAAGGUCUUCUUUUUCCUAAAGAAUUAAGUAAUAUGAUGAUAUAAUAUUAUCUUUCUUCUUAAAUCUUUGUGUGCUUUGAAUUAUUGAACUAAGGCAAUCACAAAUUAUGUAACUCAAUAGAAACAGCAGCAGCAGCACCAAGACUGUUACUUUUGUAUCUUUGUGUAAGUGCAUGCGUAUUUGUCUUUAUCUGUAAUGUAUUAGUUUUGACAUAAACAUAGAACCAACAUCUCUUUUCAUUUAUCUUGCUAUCAAUCAGGAUUAACUGAAAGGUGCAUCAGAGGAUGCAGGUAUGAAAUGAGAAUUAUGUAUGUAACUAUGAAAUUCUAUUAAAUUUAUGUUGUCAUUUAUCCAUUCUGAAACUUGAAAAUGAAACCUGGAGAUACUACUACCUCUUAACCAUGGAAAAAUUCUAAAUUUCAGUAAAUUACUAUCCUGCAAAAAAAAAAAAAUAAAUUUAAAUGUAGUAGAAAUUUUCCCCAGUCUGUGACCUAAAAGAUAGUUGUGGAAAAUAUUAAUAAAGCUUCUUCCAUACAGUGUUAAAUAUUUA
Molecule: long non-coding RNA, 1534 nt
Organism: Parus major (Great Tit)
Lineage: Eukaryota; Metazoa; Chordata; Aves; Passeriformes; Paridae
Exons: 3
Source: RefSeq, a predicted model, not a curated record